RNAcentral lists this transfer-messenger RNA (126 nucleotides) under Verrucomicrobiota bacterium. RNAcentral's name for it is "Verrucomicrobia bacterium (wastewater metagenome) partial transfer-messenger RNA". It matches the Rfam family "transfer-messenger RNA", at positions 236 to 374 of the family's 374-position model. From Rfam's summary of the family: Bacterial tmRNA, also known as 10Sa RNA or SsrA, is named for its dual tRNA and mRNA-like properties. Its role is to liberate the mRNA from a stalled ribosome. Lineage: Bacteria; Pseudomonadati; Verrucomicrobiota. The record is from RNAcentral.
GGGCUAGGCUGGGCGACUCGGAGUCAGGCCGCCAUCGCCCGGCAGAAAACUCUCUCCUGACUAAGCAUGUAGUCGCGGCUGGCAAUCUGGCUAAGGACCCGGGUUCAACUCCCGGCGCCUCCACCA